ACUCCUACGGGAGGCAGCAGUGGGGAAUAUUGCACAAUGGGGGAAACCCUGAUGCAGCCAUGCCGCGUGUGUGAAGAAGGCCUUCGGGUUGUAAAGCACUUUCAGUAGGGAGGAAGGUAGUGUAGUUAACACCUGCAUUAUUUGACGUUACCUACAGAAGAAGCACCGGCUAACUCCGUGCCAGCAGCCGCGGUAAUACGGAGGGUGCGAGCGUUAAUCGGAAUUACUGGGCGUAAAGCGCAUGCAGGCGGCCUGUUAAGUCAGAUGUGAAAGCCCGGGGCUUAACCUCGGAAUUGCAUUUGAAACUGGCAGGCUAGAGUCUUGGUAGAGGGGGGUAGAAUUUCAGGUGUAGCGGUGAAAUGCGUAGAGAUCUGAAGGAAUACCAGUGGCGAAGGCGGCCCCCUGGACAAAGACUGACGCUCAGAUGCGAAAGCGUGGGGAGCAAACAGGAUUAGAUACCCUGGUAGCACAGAG
RNAcentral lists this ribosomal RNA (474 nucleotides) under uncultured bacterium. RNAcentral's name for it is "bacterial SSU rRNA". It matches the Rfam family "Bacterial small subunit ribosomal RNA", at positions 335 to 799 of the family's 1533-position model. The record is from RNAcentral.